CUCCUGGUGGUCUAGUUGGUUUAUGGCAUCGGACUGUAAAUCCGAGAGUCGGGCGUUCGAUUCGCCCCCGGGAGA
This 75-nucleotide transfer RNA is filed under the name Sporothrix schenckii ATCC 58251. Its description in RNAcentral is "tRNA-Tyr (GTA) (tRNA-Tyr-GTA-2-1)". It matches the Rfam family "tRNA". From Rfam's summary of the family: Transfer RNA (tRNA) molecules are approximately 80 nucleotides in length. Lineage: Eukaryota; Fungi; Ascomycota; Sordariomycetes; Ophiostomatales; Ophiostomataceae. The record is from RNAcentral.